Molecule: long non-coding RNA, 21204 nt
Organism: Neofelis nebulosa (Clouded leopard)
Lineage: Eukaryota; Metazoa; Chordata; Mammalia; Carnivora; Felidae
Exons: 2
Source: RefSeq, a predicted model, not a curated record
CAAAUACUUGUCUGCCCAUUGUAUUUGAAGAUUUUCUGAAAACAAAUAUGGGAUCUUAUUUUUAUGUUACAGUAGAAUUAAGCCUAUGAUGAACAUAUUGCUUGGACAAUAUGUUAUUUUUGCCUAAUAUGUCGUAAUAUAUUCCUAAUAUAUAUAUAAUAUAUAUUACCUAACUGGGGACUUCUAAGUGUUUUCUUUUAUCUUCAAAAUUGGGAGAGUAUUAUAGCCUACCUCACAGAGUCAGAUGAAGUGCUAUAAAGCAGAUAAAACAUUUAUCUCAGUGUUGGAUACAUGGUAGAGGUUGAAGAAUAUUAACUGUUAUAGUUAAUAUAACUGUAUAAUAACUACAGAAAAUACAGAAAAACUGUAUAAUAGAAAAAUGCUUGGGGGGCCUGGGUGGCUCAGUUGGUUAAGCGUCCGACUUCAGCUCACAAGUUUGAGCCCCACGUCGGGCUCUGUGCUGACAGUUCAGAGCCUGGAGCCUGUUUCAGAUUCUGUGUCUCCCUCUCUCUCUCUCUCCCUAUCCGACUGGCCCUCUGUCUCUCUCUUUCAAAAAUAAAUAAACAUUAAAAAAAAAAAAAAAGAGAGAGAAAUGCUUACUAGUGUUUUUCAGUUGAUUUUUAUUCUCUUAAUAUUUUACAUGGAUUAUUUCCAUUUAAGGAAGAAAAAUAUGGAGCAUGUAGAACUGUGAGAAUCAGACUUUUAAAACAAAAAGAGCUAGUUCUUAUGGAACAUUCUCAGCAUUACUAUUUGGUUAACAUCUGUUUCAAACUGGCUUCUCAUUUCAGGAAUAACAUAAAGGGGGGUGGGGUGCCUGGGUGGCUCAGUCGGUUAAAUGUCCGACUCUUGAUUUUGGCUCAGGUCAUGAUCUCAUGAUUCAUGGGUUUGAGCCCCACAUGGGGCUUUGUGCUGAUAGUUCAAAGCCUGCUUGGAAUUCUCUCUCCCUCUCUCUCUGCCCCUCUCCUGCUUGCACGAGCUCUCCGCCGUCUCCCCUCCCCCAUCUCUCUCUCUCUCUCAAAAUAAAUAAAUAAACAUUAAAAAAAAAAAAAAACGAACAUAAAGUGGCUAAUAUAAUUAUUUCUAGAGGAAAUUCCAUUUGUAGGAAGUCACCAGGUAAAAUUUUUGUUUGAUGAACUUAUUUUGGAAGUCAUCUACUGGGACAGGAUCUCCAAACUUUUUUUGUAAUUGUUUACUCAUAUCAGUAAAAAUAACAUAUAUAUUUGGUUAUACAUGUAUACAUGUGCUCUUAUACAAAUAUAUAACAUACGUUAAGAAAAUAAACAAGUACAGAAACUUAAAAAGCAUGAUAAUGAAAUAUAAGGUGUAUAGAUGUUUUAGUAUUUAAUUUUGGUACCUCCUUUUCCCUUACCCAUACCCCCAACACAUGCACUGGCUCUGAGCACAUCUUUGUUUUGAGAUUUUGCUUUGAAGAGAUAACCACUUCAGCUUCAGAGUCUUGCAGCAUUUUGUUUUAAGCCAGAGAUGUGAAGGGUGGAAGGAGAAAAUCUUCUUUACAUUCUUGAGGUUUUUGUCCAGGUUUCUGAAUUUCUUGCACCUUAAAGAAACAAAAUCUGAAUUUUGCGAGUUUAAGAAGUAUCAUAGAUCAUUCUUUGUGGAGGACUCUUAUCUUGCUGCUAAUGGGUGGCUUUCAAGAGGGCCCUUGACUCUCUUGAAAUUCCAAGCUAUAUUUUGUGUCUCUGGGCAGAUUGUCGUUUUUCUGGGCAAAGGGUUUAGAUCUUUCAUCAGAUUCUGAAAGGAGUUUCCCCCAAGGCUGGGAGCCACUGCUUUGGGUGAUGGGCAUUUGGUUCUUCACUUAGAGCAGAGAGAGAGAAUUUGUCAUAUAGUCCCUUUCUGUAGAAGGGAGAUUAAAAAAAAUUUUUUUUUUAACGUUUAUUUAUUUUAGGGUGAGGGGAAAAGAGACAGACAGAGCAUGAGUGGUAGGGGGGCAGAGAGAGAGGAAAACACAGAAUCCAAAGCAGGCUCCAGGCUCCAGGCUCCGAGCUGUCAGCACGGAGCCCGACACGGGGUUCCAACUCACGGACCGUGAGAUCAUGACCUCAGCUGAAGUCAGACGCUUAACCGACUGAGCCACCCAGGCACUCCUAGAAGGGAGAUCUUUUAACAAGAGGUUUCUUCUGUGUGUCUCUCCUAAUUUUUAAUUCUUUUUACUACCAAACAGAAUUUUUAAAGGUGUUUGAAGAUAGAAGUUAAUUACAUGACUCCAGCCAUUGUGGUGGUUUGGAGCUUUUUGAUCCGUAUCAUUUGAAAAGUUAAGCUGCGUGAAUGAAUACUACCAAUGGUAAACUUGAAUGUGCCUGUCAAAAAGCAUUUAUUCUGGAGUAGCUGUGGACCUGGGAGAAGCCAGGAGGAGAGACUCAGAUUUUCUUUGCUGGUGAAGAAAUAGUUGAGCAACCAAUGACAGAGAAGAGAAGCAGUGUCUAUAGUUGUGCACCAGGUGAUGUAUUACAUGGUGUCACCUUGAAGCUUCCCAAGAAACCAAGAACAAGGAUGUUUGUUGUUAACUGAGGGCUGUGUAACUUGCCUCCCCCUUUAGACAGAGCCAGAGUCGGGACCUCAGGCCUGUCUGGUUCCAAAGCCAGUGUUUAUGGGCACGAACGUGGGUGAGCCCCGGAGCUAACCACCGUCUUGCUCGUGCUGUGCUGGGAUGAUCUCCCCAGUGAGCCCUUUUACUGCCUCUUGCAAAGAACCUUGGAAAUUGUGAGGAGACUGAAGUGGUGAGAGAAGUGGAGAAAAGAAGGGGGCGAGCAGCCAGGCCAGCAGCAACACUGGGGGUGGCGGGUGAUGAUGGACGGAACCGUGGAAGAACAGCCGGCCUCGGAGUUGGCUCCUUCGAAAGGCCCGUCAGUGCUGCCAAGAGGCAGACAGGAAGGGUCACCAACACUGCAUGAUGGCAAGGGCCGGGGUGGAGAAGAUGCCACUCUGGAUCCUGCGGGGUUCGAACGCUGUCAUGAAAAGGUCAUGCCGGUCAUGGAGUGGUUUGGGUUUGGUAAACUGGUGACUGUGUGGCAGCGGUUUUCUUUAUCAUCUGUCUUUACGUCUUUGGGAAGUAGCUUAAGUAGAGGAAAGGGUGUGGGUUCAGGUCUCGGUGAUAAUCCCGGCUUUGUGAACUGAGGUUAGUUAUUUAACAUCUCAGAGCUUUAAUUUCUACUUUGGUAACAUGGGGCUCACACUUGCCAAGGUGGUUGUGAGGAGUGUGAUAAUGCGGGGAGGCUGCCUAAUGUGUGGUUUGUUGUGUGAGAAAUAAUUCCUUCCCUUCUCUUUCUGCCAUCGAUCUUUCUUUGAGUCACUCCAGAGGACCUGGAUCUUGUUUCAGAUCUUGUGAGGGUGGAGAUCUGGCAAAAGUUCAUCCAUUUAUGCAGGGCGUCAUGACAGACUUUCACCUUAUGGUGAUGUUACAUUUUUUGGAUUUAAUUAAUUCAUGGUUGCUGGUGCCUGGAACAUUGUUCAAACAUUAAAACACAUGGAGAAAAUGGGGACUUGGUAGCAUUUCAGGAGAAGUACCAUCUUUGAAUAAGGUAGAUAUAGGCUUCGGAUUAGCCUUUUACUGAAGCGCCUUCAGAAGACGAUGUCUGGAAAGGGAAGGAGAUCACUCCUUUGCUGUACGUUGUAAGGAAUUCAGAGUGGGUUCGGGCUCCUGAGGAGCUGUCUUAUAUUAGCAGGUGGGAAAUCACAGCAGAAAACACUUUUCUUUUCAAAUGAAUGAGUAUUUUGAAAUCAAGGAUGUUUUGUAGCAGAAAGGAAGUUCCUUUUGAGAGUCAGAGGGCCUACUCAAGCUUUGUCUCAUCAAGUUAAUUUUUCAGAGUGAUAGUGAUGCAUCCAAAGGUCUGGUGUUUUUCCCUAAUUUGUGAGCAAAAGUCAAACUAACUUAAAAUAAGAUGUAUACAGAGGACUUUUUUUGUUUUGUUUUGUUUUGUUUUAAAGGUAGGCUCCCUGCCCAAUGUGGGGCUCAAACUCACGACCCUGAGAUCAUGAGUCACAUGCUCUACUGACUGAGCCAGCCAGGUGCCCCUAUACAAAGGAUUUUUGAAAAUUAAAAGGUUUUAGUACUCUGUUCUGCCCUGUCUUCAUGCAUCCUUCUACCUUUGCUUCUUUAACUCCGUCUACAGCUGCUGUAACUAGUAUUCUUGAUGGUAACCAGCCAUCUAGAAAUAAUAAUCAUUUCACUUUAAGAAAACGUAAAGACAGCAUUUUAAUCAAAAACAGUUGAGUUGAAGUUCUGAAACUCGGUAGUUGUGAAAUUUGUCUGGCAUGUGGCUGGAUCUCUAGGGGGAGAGCAUUGCAAGGUUUCAGGUAGGAGUAACUUCGAUGGAACCUUUGGCUGCUGAGGAGACUGUUUUACCACCUAGAUUUUUUACCACCUAGGUAGGUUUUGGAUAGAACUCUAUUUUUGUUGUAUUUAGAUUUACAUUGUCACAUCAUAAAAGGCAUUUCAACUCAUGGUGGAAUUUAUUUAGGCUUUUCUGGUUUAGUAGGAUGUUCUAGAAAUGGUAUAUACUUAAGACGCCAUUGGGCCUAGGAGUGGUAAGACUCUGUACUCACACCCCUGAGUUACGAUGAGGCUUACAGGAAAUGAAUUGUGUGCAAAUGCUUUUCAAAGUGCGUGGGAAGCAAACGCACAGCUCUGAAAGGAGUCUAUAUACAACCUGGCUAAGUAGCCUCCUCCAAGGGCCUUAUAUUCUCGUUUUUGUAAUUGGUCUGUGGGUUGUGUGGUUCAAUUCAUUCACUCAUCAGAUUUCUACGAGCGGCAUGAUGCACCAGGCACUGCCCUGGCAACGCAGUGGUGAGUGAAAGAGGAAGGUUGAUGCGGUUCUUCUCAAAAGGCCGUUGUAGCUGGAGGUCAGAGAUUGAUGGGGCUACUUAGGUUGUUGGAACCAAAACCAAAUCAUUCUGGUUGGGUUAAAGUUUGUCCUUGAUCCUCAGAGCAUUUUUUCAUAUCUGUAAAUAUUUGAUCACUGAAUAUAUCAAUCACCCAUAAAUUCCCUACUCAGUCAUGAGGAAUAAUAUUUUCCCUCAUGUUUAUAUAUUCUUGUGUUAGGUGUAAUUUUUUUUUUUUUUGUCUAUAUGAUACCUGACAGUAUUAUGAUUACACUGAGAUGGUCUUACUGUUGGAGUUGGAAUUUUAAAAAGUUGUCUUGUUAUGGUAACAUUGUUUUAUAUAAUACUGAGGCAAAACAACAUAAUCAUUGCUUGCUUGAAAAAGAAAAUAUUACCAAUUUACUUUUAGGCUAUAAACAUGAAAUUGUACAAACUGUAAAAAGCAUACCAAGUCCCUUUAAAAGUGAGUAAGAUCCAUCUGUGGGCCUAGCUCUAUGCUCUCUAGACGGCACUGUAUAAUUAAAGUACACGAUCUUAAGUCUUCCUGGGUUUUAAUUCACUGUUUUAUGAACUGCUGCUUAGGAGAGUGGGGGACAUAAUACAAUAGAUUUAAUUCACUAAGAGAAUAAAAGUUGAGAAGAUUAGAGCUAGAAUUAGUGGCAGCACCAAUUGAUGUUUAUUAACUGAGAAUACAAGCAACAGUAAAACCACAGUUAGGCAAAACAGCUAACACUGGUGGUGUUAUGGUUACUGUGAACACUGGAAAAAUAAAUAAUUGCAGGUAUUUUAACUUUGGCAAAUCGAAUGAAGUUAAAAAUUGAAUCCCCCCUCCUUGUCACUGGCUAAUUUUAAAAUUUCCCGAGCUAUUAUGAUUUAAAUUAUUGAGCCUUAUCUGAGCCGCAUUCUGUGGGCGGUAAAAAUUGAGUGGAGUGUGCGCUUUUGGAACCAGUGCUCGAAGUAGAGCUGGAUUUGUGAUGGUUUACAUAAGGAGGAAAGCAUCAUCUGGGAUUAUCUCAGACGCUGACCUGUGGGAGAGUCCAACAAAAUAAAAAGACUGUAUAUAGAGAGAGUUUGGAGUUCGUGAUGGUCAGUACUUAAAUGGCCACCCUUGUACCUUAAUGGUUACUGAAUUUCAGAAUGAUUUCAGAAUCAUUUCAUGGUCGGUCAAACAAUGUGCAUUCCUACGAGUGCAUAUCUGUAUUUAAUAUUGACAUAAUCUGGGUGAAAUCAUAUUUCUUUACAGUUUUACUUAAUGGAGUAUUAUUUUUCUCUUCUAUGUAGGGAGGACACUACACCUACAUUUCUUGGCUAGAAAGACAUUCUCCGACCCCUUUUUUGAGCCAGGCUGUUUGUAAUAUUGUACCGUUUAUUAAGAGAAUAAUUUCUUCACAUUAGGGUAUCAUAGUUCAUGACCAAUAUUCUUUUGUCUCCAUAAAUGCAAGGAUAAUUGAGUAGUUAUUUGCUUCUUUCUUGGUGAGAUGGUCAUGAAGUUUUGCUUGACUCAUUUGCAGAUGAGAGAUCAAGAACCUCUCCAUAGAGUGCGCCCCAUGACUGCAUGAUUUAAUGUAGCUAAUGGUUAGAGUGGGACCUAGAUCAGAGUAAGUGUUAUAUACAUGUUAACUACCUUUGUCAUUGUUGUUGCUGUUAUUGUUACGAAUAAAUGCUACCUAAUCUGUAUCUCAUGACUUGGAUCCUGUAAAGAUGAUCUGUUUUUGUGUACCGUGUUUAGGAAAAUGGGUGUUUGAGUUUUAAAAUCCAUUAAAUCUAUUCAUAAACUAAAUUGUUUACGUAAAAGAAUAUAUCACUAUCUAUUACAGUUGCCAAUGAGCUUUAAAAAGCAUUUAGAAAGCGUUGCUGAGUGAAAGUAACAUUUGGAAGCUGUCAGAGUCAGUAUGUUUCAGAACCCAAGGACUAGUCUAGGCAAGUGUGAGUUGUGUUGCUUUAUAACGGAUGUUAGAGUGUUGUGUUCACCUGUCUCCCCCAGCUGGAGUGUGUGGUGCUAUGGGAGAUGGGGGAGUUGGAUGUGUGCGAUGACUCUGAACGUUGUCACUGUGAGACAUCGGGAAGGACUAUUGGUGGCCACUAAAUGUAGUUAAGAGGUUGCUACCUGGACAGAUAGGACGUGGCCAUUAACCUUACAUCUUUGAUUAAGUGGCAGCGUUGAAAAAUCUUUUAAAAAGAAAAACAAUUUGCAGGAAUUUCUAGGAGUCUGCAGAAGUAUCUUUGGUGCAGGUGGCUUACAAUAUGAAUUUCAUGUGUGUUAGAAAUUUUUUCUUCAUCUGUGAGUUUUUUACCUAAAGCUAUUUUUAUCAACUCCAAUUAUGGAUUUGUUGUGCGCCUGUAAUUUUGAUUGGCAGUGAAGCCUGCAUUUAAUCUUUAUUCGGACCUAGAAAGGUUUUUUGUUUCCUUUUUGUCUCUCAUGGGAAGUUAGUCUGAACCACUCAUUUCUCAUACUUACCUCAAGAUAAUGAGUGUCGUCGAUCUGUCUUCAGUUUCCAUCGAGACAAGAAAAUGUAUUCAACCCUAGCGCAUUUUUUCUUUCAUGAUGAGUUUAAAUAAAAUAAGUGACUGAGUGAAUAUGUUUACAAAAGCAACAUGUACACGUAUUUGAAGUAGGUACGUAAUGAGGUAAACCAAGGUCCCAAGAAAUAACUGGCAGAUCAGAGUUCAGUAAGUACAGUUGAAUAGGAAUGUCAGUCAGAAUUCUCUCUUCCAAGUUAUCUUCUUGAGCUGGUAGAUGAUGAUGUUUCUGUUGUACCUUGAGUUCUUACAUUUUAUCCUAGAGAUUUUAAAUAAAGACUCAAAAGGCUGAACAGUGAAAGCUUCAGUCAAGGCAGGGCACAUUAGGUGUCUAUACUGUUUGACGUUAGCUGUACUGAAGCAAGAGAUAGUCCCUUAUGGUUAUUAUUUUUUUCCCCUUCCCAUCAUUUAGCGUUUUCUUUAAAAUGAAUUUUUGACAUUUUUUUCUUCUCUCUGUGUAGUAGCUCCUCUAAACUACAGAUAGUAAUUAACUCUCUCUAUAUGUUUAAAAAUUUUUUUUAAAUGUUAAUUUAUUUUUGAGAGAGAGAGAGAGCAUGAGCAGGGGAGGGCGGAGAGAGAGGGAGACACAGAAUCCGAACCAGGCUCCAGGCUCCAGGCUCCGAGCUGUCAGCACAGAGCCCGACCCAGGGCUCGAACUCACGAGUUGUGAGGUCAUGACCUGAGCCAAAGUCGGAUGCUUAACUGACUGUUUUUUUUCGUAUACCUGCACACCUAUGGUUAAGUUUAAUUCAUAAAUUGGAUACAGUAACAGAUUAACAGCAAUAACAUUUAUGACAACAUACCAUAACGAAAGUUAUGUGAUUGUGGUCUGUCUCUCAAAAUAUCUUUGUACCGUACCUCCCCCCCCCCCCUUCUUGUGAUGAUGUGAGAUGCUAAAGUGCCUACAUAAUUAGAUCAAGUGAGGUGAAUGACGUAGGCUUGUGAUGUAGAGUUAGGCUGCCGUUGACCUCCUGACGAUACGUCAGAGGGAGGAUCAUCUUCUUCUGGACCACAGUUAACUGUGGGUAACUGUGGAAGGGGAAACUGGGUAAGUGGGGACUGCCAUACAGGUGGGUUUGCUUAGGGCCAUUUAGAGCUGUGGCCAGGUCAGAAAUACAGAGGUAGCAUGGGAAGCUCGGGAGGCUGACGAUUUAGACUCAAAGAAGUUGCCUGUCCAGCAAGGUAGAGUUAUGGAGAGAGGAUAGGUUUGUCAGCGAGCUAGCCAGCCUUAGAAUUCCAGCCAGUUUUCCUUGCAAGCUGGGUGACUUUGGAGAAAUGAUCUUCUUAGAACCUCAGUUUGCUUAUCUGUAAAGUGAUGAUAAUAUCUUCUGCCUUGCAGGAUUAGUAUGAGAGGCAAUGUAUGUGAAAUGCCUAGACCAGUACUGACAUGGCAGAUACUUGGUAAUUGAUAGUUAUCAUAAUAUGUCUGUCCUUGAGGUCAGAGACCAUGUCCAUUCAUGAUUGUAUUCCCAUGGGGCAGGAUUGUGUCCCCCCCCUCACAUCUUUAUGGCUCAGAGGGUACCUGCUGAAUGAAACCAUCCUUUCAGGUAGGAAGGGAAUUCUUCAUGUAUAUGAGGCACUGCUGACUCAUAAUAUCACUUCCUAACUCAAUCCUUUCUUUUCUGAUUUAUGUUGUCUUAAAUAUUCUUUUAAAGAAUAUAUUUUUUUAAAUGAAGAGAGUUUUGUAAAGAUUUUUUUUUUUUAAUUUUUAAUUUUAGAGAGAGAGAGAGAGAGUGUGUGAGUGGGGGAGAGGGGCAGAGGAAGAGAGAGAAUCUUAGGCUGUACACUCAGCGUGGAGCCCGACACAGGGCUCGAUCCCACGAUCCUGGGAUCAUGACCUCAGCUGAAAUCGAGUCGAAUGCUGAAAAGACUGAGCCAGCCAGGUCCCCGAAAGAGAGUUUUUGUGUGAUAAACCGAACAUAGCUUUAAAGACAAAGGUUUAUGAUUAUGGUCUGCAUUGCCUAGCUGAAAAGGUGCUGCUUUGGACAGAAAACAGCCUCUGAAAGGCCCGUGAUUAUCAAAGGUUGCCAAGUGCUUUGAAAGGCUCUGGGCAAAAGUUUUCAUUUCCGGUUUUAUCCUCAGUCUCUUCUGCCGUGAUGGAGAGCUGGCAGAGUCUGGAGCGAAGGAGACAUGGAAUGAGUGUUUACUGAGUGAAUGAAUUAAUAUGGUGAUUAUUCAGACCUCAAAAUUCAGUGGGGUCUUUGUCGGGUAGUAUUUAUUUGAUCAGCUUUGGAGAGCAGAAAUAGUAUACAAACGCUAAGUGGAUUUUAGUGAGUCUUGACAAUAAGAGCAGCUGGGUUUGCUGUCACAUCUCAGGUUUAGACCAGAGACUUACUAGUUCACAAGAAUCGCAGCUGGCACUGACCUGGCACUUUGCUGCUCUCUUCGAGGUACAUCAUAGAAAACUUUUCACUGGGCAGGCACCCCGGAUCCGAAAAUCAGCAUUAACUUUGUGUAAAUCUCCUCUGGGGGGAUUCGCGGGGGAUGUGUAAGUAGGAAGAGUAAGCUGCCGGAGAGAGUGAGAUAGUCUAGUCCUUUCUCUUGCUCUGGCCCCCCUUGCCUCAUGGGGAUUUAUGUCAGCUCGGAGGCAAGUGGUUUUGGCUCAGCACAAUUAAUCAAAGAUGAGUGCUAAAAAAGUUACCACUUUGGUCCUCUGGGUAGUUUCUCGUUCUUCUUAGAUGGGCUUUUCACCCAGUCUGUCUUUACUUUUUUGUUUGAUGUGUAUUCAGGAGAUUUAAAAAGCUUAUUUUAAAUUUGGCCUUCAGCAAACGUAAUUAAAAAGGAAAAGUUUCUGUUUGCUGUUGCAGGAAGCCUGCUUCCCUUCCCCCUCACCCCUACAAUUGGUACAUUUCUUAAUACUCAGGAAGAAGUGAAUUUUAGGUUAGCCGUGUUUCUAUCCCUUCAUUACUGAGUAUAAUGAAGAGGUGCAAGGAUUUGAUGUGGUUUGCCAAAUUUUUAGGGAACACAAAAAGCACACGCUUAGUGGUUCAUAUUUUUGAAAAUCUUUGUACAGUAUUUGGGAAGAUUUUCUUUUACUAGAAACCUCAUUUUCUGGGCUCUUCAUUUUGCUAUGCAUAAUUCGAGAAGACUCUAUCUAUCUAUCUUUGUCCUUGGUAUUUGAAGGAUAUGCAGUAUAUAUUCUGAAUAGACCGUCAUGACCCUGGGAGGCCUUUCUUUGGUUAAGUGUAUCUUCAGAAACAGAGGUAAUCAAGAUCUGUCUCCAGGAAUUUUCUUUCCUUUCGAAGCCUCAUUUUCACAUGUCAAAUAUAAUAAAGGCCUAUAAACUCUGGCGAGUGCUUUCAUUUAACCAUCCAAACAGUUUCUGUUUCAGUUCCAAAAAAGGUAAUUUCUCCUCCUCCGAUUAAAUACUUACGUUUCUUUCUUUCUUUCUUUCUUUCUUUCUUUCUUUCUUUCUUUCUUUCUUUCUUUCAGGCAGAAUGGAGUCAUUCAUUGCUCUUGAGUUCUCUUUGGUGUUAAUAGAUGGGGUGUUUCAGAAAUCAAUCCAUUUAGCAUAUAUAAUAAAUACCAGUGUUAGAUUUUUAUGGAGUUUGGAAAGCUCUUAUAGAAACACAUAUAGGUAGGAGUCUACUUGAUUUAUUGGGGUGGCUUGAAAGAAUUAUAAAUGUUUUGGUAUUAAAAGUUGCCGUGUCAGACAUAAGACUUUUAAAAGACUCAUAAAGAGAUGCGAAGAACCUGUUAAUGGUGGAUAUCUUUGGGCAAUAAAAAUAGGUUUCACUUUCUACCUUGACAUUAAAAAAACUAAUUACAAAACAGAAGGGUAGUCAUGUGUCUGUUUUCCAAACUAAUGAAAGUAAGCAAACUACUGGGAAUAAAAUGAGCCAUUGACCAUUGGUGAUCAUUAGAUUAAGCCUUUAUGGAAUCAGUUGGAACAUGAGGAAAUAUAUACAGGAUUCUUUUCAUACAGCAUAAAUGCUCAAAGUAACUAAUAAAGUAUUAGUUGACGUAUAUAUGUUUGUCCUAUCUUUCCAUCUUCCGUUGACCCAUCAUUGUUCUACCCAUUUGUGAUAGUCAAGGAAAAGAAAUUUAGCUUGUCAUCUCUUUAGUAUAAUUGGUUUCUUUUCGAUAAGGAAAGAGCUUUAAUUGCUCAUCUAUUCAGAUAAGCUUGAAAAAGCAUUAUUUUUGAUGUUCAGCAGGAGGGUAAAGUACUUAAUUUUCAGAAAUGGUGUAUGGGGUACUGAAAAGGUAAAUUCUGUUGGUGUAAAGUCUUUUAUUUUCACUGUUUUCUGAGAUACAGUACUUAUCUUGGUGAUUUUAUUGUGCAAAGAACUCCGCUUCUUGGCUGUCAUACACCACACUUUAAUGAGCUAGAGCUACACAAUAAUUUGUGACUUGCGCUAUUUCCUUUUCUAAUCAACUCAUCGACUCAUCAAUAUCAUGCCCAUUCUGCACCAGUUUACUCUAGAAUUGAUAAAAGUUUUUUUUUUCUUUUUUUUUUGUAUUGCCGUAAGAGAACCAAGAGAGCUUAGUGGCUUGCAUUCCGUUUGGGGGAUAAAAAAAUAUUGAAUUGGCUUUUGCUGCUUAAACCACUCCAAAACUCGGUGGCUUAAAACAACAGACAGCCAUUUAUUUAGCUCCGCAUCCUGUGGUUUGGCAGUUUGGACCGGGUUCAGCUGUGUGAGGGUCCUCAUCUCUGCUGGACUCACUCGUGCACCUGCAGUCAGCUGGCGGCUGAUGGUCUCAUUCACAUUUCUGAUCAUUGGCUGACCGUUGGUUGGUUGUGGGUACCAGGGUGUCUGGGCCGUGAGAGUCUCCUCAUCCAGCCCGGUAGCCUGCACCUUUUUACGUGGUGGGUUGUGGGGUUCUCUAGAGCAGUAAGAGAGGGCAAGCACAAAUACUUUUCAGGUCUCUCCUUGCAUUGUGUUUGCAGUUAUCCCAUCGGCCAAAGCAAGUUACAAGCCGGUUGAAAUUCUAAGAGUGCAGAAAGACUCCAUCUCUUUGUGGGUGGAGCUCCAAAAUUACACUGCCAUGGCAUGAAUACAAGGAGGGGAAGAAUUUGUGGCCAGUUCUGCAACCUGCCAUGGAUAUUCUGAGGACUUCAGAUCUUGGUUCAGUGGAUAUUGUCUCUGUUUUGAAAUACAUCUAACUACUCACUUUCUCUUGUGCUGCCUUCUGAGUCCAGACCACUCAGUGUGUGCCUCCUUACAGGUUCCCUGCUUCCCACCCUUGCCCCCUGUGCUCCCCACGGCAGCCAGAGCAAAGUUUUCAAAUUAGAAGUCAGAGCAUGUUCAAAACCUCCCAUUGGCUUCCCAUUUCAUUCAGAAUAAAAUUUAAAUUCCCUACUGAGGCUGCAAGACUACCUGACAUGGCCCUUUCUUUGACCUCAUCUCCCCCGACUCGACUCGUCUCUCAUCCUGUCCCAGCUGCUCUUCCCUCCUUGCUGUUAGACACACCAAACCUGCUCCUGCCUCAGGGCUUUGCAUUGGCUGUUUUCUCAGCCAGAAGUUCAGCGGCUCCCUCCUUUCCUUCCUUUGGGUCUCUCUUUAUAAAUCUCUUUCUCAGAGAGGCCUUGGUUGAUAUCCCUCCAUAAAAUAACAUUCUUUCCUACCAAUUUCUCGCUUGCCUUGUUGUACUCCAUGGCACGUAUCACCACCUGACAUUUGUUUAUUUUCUAUCUCUUCCAUGAGGGGUGGUGACUUUGAGUGUUAUCCCCAGUGCCUCCAACGGGGCCUGGCGCAGAGUUUAUGUUCCCCAAGCCUCGGUGGAAUGACUGUAAAGUGCAGUUUAUCACCUAGUCUUAGUGGUGGCUCUUCUCUAGAGCUGGUGAGGUCUGUGUUCCAUCUGUCUUGGGCUAGAGGCAACCUGUUUUCCCCUUGCCCGAUGCUCAGCUGGAUGCUUAAUGAGGUGUUCAUCUACUCCUCUUUAAAAAUUUUCAGCUAUUUUAAUUCGGUGAUUUUGGGAUCAUUUUCCUUUAUAAAUAGAUUUAGAAGUAUAGUCAUUCUACUAUAUGCUGAUGGUUUGUGUAAAUGCACAGCUAUACAUAUGUAUGUUUUUUUGCCCCAGAGUGGCACACAACAAACCCUCAGGCUAGCCCUGGAGGCUCAGGUAGUUGUGGUCUUAACACCGUCUUCACGUACUCUUGAAAUUCCUCCGUCCCCCAAGCCUCUUUUACUCAGACCUAUGUACCAAAUUGCUGAGGCCCCACUGGGCCUCUGACUUCCUCUGAGCAGCUCUGAAAGGUGCUAUUCUUCAAGUGUAAUUUGUGUCUCGGAUGGCUUUCCUAUAGCUGCUUCUCAGGCUUUGAAUCUGAGUUCUGCUAGUCCACGGGAGCUGACCAUUGCGUGUAUAUGUUCGUAACGGAUAGUCAAACCUCUAAUUUGGAAAAAUGAGAUGGGACAGAAGUGAGUAGGAGGAAGGGCAGUCUAGCUUAGUAAAACCCCUGAAUCACAGAAUAUUUAAAAAUAAAGACAGUUCUAUGAUUUUUAAAUUACAGUGCACAUGAUAGACUAAUACAUAACAGGGACAUAAUGAGCCAUGUAAGCAGCAGCAAUGGAAAUAUUUACAAUUCACAAUAGGCCUACUGAAUAAGCUAAGAGAUUUAAGCAGCAAAGUCUGGGUAAGGGUUAUUUGACUCAGAAUUUGAGGGCUAAUCCACAGAAUGUGAGGAGUCAGUAACUUCUUGAAUGCUUCGAUUGGAAAGUGUUGUCGAUUUUUAUAUUGCAUUUUCCCAAUUGGUAAGGACCUAAAAAUGUGCAGGUGCGGACUGACUCGUGCUUGCCUAGAAUCACGUUCUUCUAAGUUUAGAGUGGAUAUAUGGAAGAGGAGCUGAGACCUGCUUUGGCUUUUACCCUCUGGCUGUUGAGGUUAGCAUUUCAGAAACAUCUUCACCCAUCCUAGAAAGUGCAUGAGUAUGUGUUCAUUUUUGUUGUCCCGAUGCUGGUUGAGUUAGAAAGCUGGGAGACAAAGCGAUGGGGUUUCAAAUAAUUUAGUGGAAAGAGAAUGCUGAUAAGUAACAACAGGGAUUGUGGGACCAUUCUGGAUUCUGGCCAUCAUGACAGGAAGGGCCGGGGUUAAGAACAUGCACUUUGGAGGCAGGCAGGCUAGGGUUUUGGUCUAGUUUUUGCCAUUUACUAUUUGAAUGGUCUUAAAUAAGUUAUUUAACCUCUCUACAUCUCAGCUUCCUUUGUGAUAAAAAAGGAGGUCCCGGGGGCCCCUGGCUGGUCAGUCGGUGGAGCAUGCGACUCUUGAUCUCUGGGUUGUGAGUUCAAGCCCCACUCUGGGCGUGGAGUCUACUUAAUUAAAAAAAAGGAGGGGGUGCUGACAGAGCUUGUCUAUUAGAUUUGUUGUAAGAAAUAAAGGUUAUGUAUGUCAGAGGCUUAAUACUAGAAAAGGCAUACAGUAAAUGCUCAGGAAAUGUUUGCUGGAGAAGGCAUACUUUCUCAAGAAUCUAGAAAAAUGCUGGUACCAGAAGGGCUUAAAUUGGCACCAGGGCAUAGUCUUGUGUGGUGUUUUGGCCCCUAUGAAAAUACUGAAUACAUGCAGUCUGUGAGAGGGACAGGAUGGGGGUGACUGGCAGAGGCCAUAGCAUUCCUAAGGACUAUAGCUUGGCGGGGUGUGGGGAGGGUGGAGCUAGUGAGUGGGGUGGUUUGGUGAGGAAUGGGCAGGGCCUUUCACGUGUGCACAGCAGCUCCAAAGAGAGGAGCGUGAAGUGUGUGAGGAGGGAAAAGCAUAUAUACCUGGUAGUGGUGGCCAGAGAGCCACGGGAGCAGGAAGAGGACACUGGUGUAUACAGGAGAGUGCUGGGGACAGGGGUGCCUGGUGAGUGGCGUGAGGGCUUGCAGGCUUCAAUUUGGCAAUUACAUUUGUUUCUAAGGCAAUUAGGAGCCACUCAAGCUAAGCCUCUGCAGAGAGAAAGGAUCUCACCAAGGCUCUGGAAGAAUAGGGUUCUUCCUGUUGGGUGUCUGACAGUUUCCUAAGAUGAUGCUCAAAUUUAUCCACUCAGGUAUCCUUAGGAAUAAGAGAAUUGCCAAAAUCCUGCAAUUUCUUUGAAGUCUCGUAUUUCUGCUUUAAAAAUUCAGAGAUUUUUGCAUUUCAUAAUGUAUUAGCUUCAUUCUAAAAGUUGGUGUUUUCAGUAAACGUAAUGGCUCUGUGUUUAUCCCGUGGCUUCUGGAAGGUACUCACACUGCUGUCCUCCCGAUUCAUCCAGGAGCAAGAUAAUUAGCAGGUCGGGUAUUUAGACUGCCGGGGCUGAAGGGCUUUAGCAGGUGCUUCCUACUCACAGCCGACAGACGGGCAGAAGGUGCCCCUUGUUACCCUUUGCCCCGUCCUUGUGGGCCCUAAAUCCUUUCUUUCUGCAAGGCAUCUUGGGAGUUUUUGAAGGCCCCAUUAACAACAGUCGUUUAGCGCUCACUGCUUCCUCAUCUUAUUUUUUCUCUUCCCCUGGCCUAAAAUACCUAACUUCUUUCUUACUGUUUUUUGUUUAAACAGUUUCAUUGAGAUAUCAUUUACACACCAUACCAUUCUCCCAUUUAAAGUGUUCAGUAUAUUUGCAGGGUUGUGCAACCAUUACUGCUGUCUACUUUUAGAACAUUUUUGUUCCUCCUAAAAGAAACUCUACUCGUUACUGGUUACUUCUCCUUCUCCUACCUCCACCCCUGUCACUCCUAGCCCUAGGUGACCAUAAUGUACUUCCUGUGCACAGAUUUGCCUAUUCUGGACAUUUCAUAUAGGUGGAAUCAUAUACUGUGUGGCCCUUUGUGACUGAUUUCUUUCACUUGGAAUAAUACUUUCCGGGUUCACCAAUGGCGUAGCAUGUAUCAUUCCUUUAAAUUGUUGAACAAACAGUAAUUGUGUUGUACCACAUUUUGUGUAUCCAUUCAUCAGCUGGUGAACAUUCAGGUUGUUUCCACUUUUUGGCUAUUAUGAAUAAUGCUACUUUGCUUUUGUGUGGAUGUGUUCUCACUUCUUUUGGGUAAUACUUCAGGAGUGGAAUUGCUGGGUCAUAUGGUAACUCUAUGUUUAACUUUUUGAGGAACUGCCAAGCUGUUUUUUUCCAAAGUAGCUACACCACUUUGCAUUCCCACUUGCAAUCUAAGGGAUCCAAUUUCUCUACAUCCCUGCCAACACUUGUUAUUUUUUGUCUUUUUGAUUCUAGCCAUUCAAUCGGGUAUGAUUUGCAUUUCCCUGGUGGCUCAUGAUGCUGAGCAUCUUUUCAUGUUUUCAUUGGCCAUUUGUGUAUCUUUGGAGAAAAGUCUGUUCAAAUGAUUUGCCCAUUUUUGGUUUGUUUUUUUGUUAUCAAAUUGUAAGAAUUCUUGAGUGCAAGUCCCUUAUCAGAUAUAUGAUUUAUAAAUAUAUAAAUUUAUAUAUAUAUUAAAAAAAUUUUUUUUACUGUUUUAUUUUUUUUGUUGAGAGAGAGAGAGAGAGACCAAGCAUGAGCGGGGGAGCAGCAGAGAAGGAGGGAGACACAGAAUCCCAAGCAGGCUCCAGGCUCUGAGCUGUCAGCACAGAGCCUGACGUGGGCCCCAAACCCAUAACAAUGAGAUCAUGACCUAAGUGGAAGUUGGACACUUAACCGACUGAGCCACCCAGGCACCCCUAUGUAAAUUUAUAUUUACAUAAGUAUAUAUAAAUCUGCCAUUCAGCAGUUUGUCUUUUCACUUUCUCGAUGGUGUGCUUAGAAGCAGAAAUGUUUUUGGUCUUGAUGAACUCCCAUUUAUUUAUUUUUUUCUUUUAUUGCUUGUGCCAUUAUUACUGCUUUUUAAUCCCUAGCUAUUCUGCAGAAUAUUGGGCUAGGAACCAGAGCACCUGGGCUUUAGUUCUGCCACUAAUAAGCUGGUUGACAUUGGUCAAGUAACUGCUUGCCCUGCCUACACCAUUUUUUCCCCCACAAAAGUGAUUGUUUCCUAAUAAAUCCAAGUUGAUCAUAUCACUUCCUUCUUCCUAAAUGCUUAUUGGUUUCCUGUUGUCCAUAACUGAUAAAAUCUGAACAGUUAUGUUUGGCAUUUAAAGCUCUCCCACAAGCUGGCUUGCUCUUUUUUUUAGCAUAUGCUCUCUGCACUCUACUCCAGACAUGCUCACAAUUUCACACACAUAGAAAUAUCUCAUACCCCGUUCUUAGUUCACAACUCUACAUGUGCUUUUUUUCUUGGUGAAGAAUGCCUUCCCUGCCCCCUACUCUGCUUUAUGUCAUAAGCUCUCCAUUUAGUCUUUGAGAAUCCAGGGCAAAUGUUCAUUGUUGUGUCCAUGCGGUGCCUGGCAGAUAGUAUAUGCUUAGCAAAUCUUUGUUAGGUGAACGCACAGUUGAAAGAAACACUGCCUUUUCUCGAUAGCCUUGCUUGGCUUUUUAUACAAAGUUGUCAGUUCCUCUCUUGGGUUCCUACAGUGUAUACUUUCUCAUACCUGUUAUACUCCUGCUCUCUUUUGUAGUUUGUUUUACUGUCUUUAUCCCCUGCCCAGUGAUUCCUUGGGAGGCAGGUGCUAUGUCCAUUAUGUUCCAGGCCCGAGCUUCUGGCAAGUGUAGUAGGGCGGUAAGUAUAACUGUUGGCCUGUGAAUGGAUGAGUUUCUUUGGGGAGUUCUGGAAAGUGAAAGAGACGACGCAUCUAGUCUAGAUUAUUGGUUUUCAGCUUUCCUGAACCUGUUUAGAUAAGAUUGUAGAGUAUAUGCAGACGGACGUGAGGAGUUAAAUCCUCAGAAAAAGAGAUUUUCUAGGUGCAGUCCAAACUCUGACAGAGUGGAGAUAGGCUGGCUCCAUGACCUCUGCUUCCCUUGCCUGAUGUUUUGAGUGUGGGGGGAUGGUGUGGGGAGAGCUGAUGAACGGUGAAGGAUUGAGUGUGUGAGCAGGUUGUUCUUGCUUUUUCAUAAUACCCGCUGUCCAUGUGGAUUUCCUCAGUUUUAAAGUAGUUACUACCCUGUUUAAUUCUCUUCUUAACCUUUGAGGUGCAAAGCUGCUUUUGGCCUCUUUGGAAUUGUGCUUGGGAGUUACCAGAUUACAUGAUUCCACUAAUGCUUAAUGCUGUAAGACUUCUUGCAGCUCUAAGAUUUCAUGGUUCAAGACGUUGUCUUCCCCCUGAAAUAUUUCUUGGUGACUUUAGUCCUCAGUGAUUUCUCUUUUCUUAUCGUAAGUCAUGUAAGACAUAUUCAUGUGUACUGCACCCUUUCAUUCAUUCAUUCAUUCAUUCAUUCAGCAAACACUGUACUAGGAACCUGGAAAUGCUGGAGUGACAAAGGUGACUAUAAUAGCAUUCAUUUGAGUGUUUAAUGAACACAUAUUUUAGGCUCUGCCCUGGGGAUUAUAAUGUGAAGAAGACAUGUGGCAAAGUCUCUUGCAUUUUGAAAGUUGCUGCUUUUCAUGGGUGUUGGUUUUCUGUCCCCAGUUAGACUGUGUUUAGACUAUGUAAGCUAUGUUUUUAAUGUAAUUUUAAUUUUAAUUUUUAUGGGGGUGGAGGGGCAGAGGGAGGGAGAGAGAGAUGGAGAGAAUCCCAAGCAGGCUCCAUGCUCCACACUCAUUGGAGUCUGAUGUGGGGCUGGAUCUCAUGACCCAAUCCAGAAUUAAGAGUCAGACACCCAACUGACUGAGCCAACCAGGUGCCCCUAACCUAUGUUUUUUAUAUUUCAUUCCCCUGAUCAUUUUAAUAUGCCAUAUAAAUAGUUCUCAAGAAUUACUUGAUUGACUUCUUGGAUGGGGUUCUUUUGACUGCCAAGAAAAACCUCUGUUGUCAAGAAAACAUGAGGCCUGUUUGGUGAAAUCAGAACUCUGAAGUUUAUAAUCCAUAUAAUAUGUACAGGUCUCACAAGUGGUUACUUGAGGAAAGUGGUAGUGUGGCUGAUUUCUUUUUUUUUUUUCCUUUUCCAUUUGGAAGUAGAUGGGAGAGUUAUUUAGAACUAACUUCUCAUACUCCCUAUUCAUUUCUGAGUAAUGAACUUACAUAUUACAGUUUUGGACUUAGGAUGCUGACAUGUGAUUUCUGGUACUGCAUGCUUAAUCAGAACUUCGAAGAGUUUUUCUAUUUUGUUUUGUUUUUCGAAUCAGGACUGUGCCCUUCCUCGUAAAGCAGAAUUUUGUUUGUUUGUUCGAGUUGAUAGGAGUUUUUUCCAAGUGGUUUUCUUCACAUUCUGCCAUCUGAGCCUUUGUAAUAAAGGCGUUCAAAGCCCUCAUGCAAUUCUCAUAGUUUUACUUCAUGUAGAGGAGUCUACUUCAUGUAGACUAUGAUAUUUAGAUGAGAAACUCAUUAAAAUACGUAAUACAGUAACAUGAUUUUGGAGAAUGAGAGUAGUCAGGAGUAGUAAAACAGUAUCUUUUAAAACAGUUGUCUUCCUGGGGCACCUCGGUGGCUCAGUCGAUUUAAGCACCUGACUCUUGAUAUCGGCUUAGGUCAUGAUCUCACUGUUGGUGAGAUCGAGCCCCGCGUCGGGCUCUGUGCUGACGGCAUGGAGCCUGUUUGGGAUUCUCUCCGUCUCUCUCUGCCCCUUUUCUGCUCAUGCACACACUCUCUCUGUCUCUCAAAAUAAAUAAAUAAACUUAAAAAAAAAAUCAACUGUCUUCCUUGCAACAUUUAAAAUGUGACUUAAAUGUACUGGGUUUUGCCCUUACUGCUUUCAUUAUGUUACUUCCUUGCUGGGGAACAGUUGUUUUCAAACUUCAGUGUGCCAAAGAACCAACUGAGGAGUUGGUUUGUGCUGUCACUUCUCCCCAUCUCUCCCCAGUGGUUCUGAUGAGAUCUCUUCUGGACACCUGCAGGCCAGAUGGUUCGGAGGCUGUGAGCCACGACUGGACAGUGGUUUGGAAGUGUCACAGUGUUCCUUUCUAACCUCUUAUCACUCCUCCCACACAGGCCAGUUAGCCUGUCCUCAGCCUGCUGCCCGCUACCCCAUGUUCUUUAAUGGCCUCAGUGCCUUUGCCCUGUCAUUAUUACCCAAAUUGGAAAUGCAUCUCCUGUCUUUCUCUCUUUUUAUUUUACAUAUGUAUGUAUGUAUGUAUGUAUGUAUGUAUGUAUAUAUGUGUUUUUAUUAUUUUUUUAAAGACUGUAUCUUUUUUUUUAAGUUUACUUAUUUAUUUUGGGAAUGAGAGAGAGCAGGGGAGGGGCAGAGAGAGGGGGAGAGAGUCACUAGCAGGCUUCCCACUGCCAGUGCAGAGCCCCAUGUGGGGCUUGAACCUAUGAACUGUGAGAUCAUAACCUGAGCCGAAAUCCAGAGUCAGAUGCUUAACUCGACUAAGCCACCCAGGCGCUCCUCUCUCUUUUAUUUUUAAAGAUAGUAUUUUAAGUCAUGUCUACACCCAACGUGGGGUUUGAACUCACAACCCCCAGAGCAUGAGUCUCAUGGUUCACUGACUGAGCCUGCCAGGCACCCCCUCCUGUCUCCUUAGAGCUCAGCUUCUAAGCUGAGGUGGGCUUCCCGAUAAGCUGUCUCUUCUAGUUUAGUCCACCCUAAUGGUUCCUUCCUCUAAACUCCUAUGUAGAUAUGGUAGUUUUAAAAAAAUUGCCAACAUUUAGAUAUCAGGAACUACUUAUAAAAAGUAUUUUUAACUCUCAUGGUAACGACUGGUUGGAGCUGAUUUGCAACAUUUGUUACUUUACAGUUUUUAAGUUUUACUUGUCCCCUUACCUCCUUCAUUUUGGACAAGGGUCAUUUGUUGUUUACCUUCACAUUUGUGCUGCUGCCUUAUUUUCAAUGAGCUGGUUUUACUCAUAAUCUUUCCUUAUUUGGCUGUUGUGAAUAUUGAGUGUGUAAUACUUGAUUUACGGUCCGUGUUGCUCAUUAGACCAUUCCUGGAUAUUUGCCUGCCUUACUUAGUAUAUCUUUCAGGGCUCCCGUGUACAGCUUCACAGGUUGUACACUGCAUGAUAGUAUGUGCUGGCCCUGUGUCUUUUAAUGUAAAAAUAUUCUAUUUC